Molecule: microRNA precursor, 95 nt
Filed under: Ananas comosus (pineapple)
Lineage: Eukaryota; Viridiplantae; Streptophyta; Magnoliopsida; Poales; Bromeliaceae
Source: RNAcentral
AGAAUGGAAUUCAGCCAAGGAUGACUUGCCGGCAUAAUCUCUAACAAGAUUUUCAAUCUGCCGGCAGGUUGUCCUUAGCUAAAUUUGACAUCUCU